Molecule: ribosomal RNA, 407 nt
Filed under: uncultured bacterium
Lineage: Bacteria
Description: partial 16S ribosomal RNA
Rfam family: Bacterial small subunit ribosomal RNA
Source: RNAcentral
AUUGAACGCUGGCGGCAUGCCUAACACAUGCAAGUCGAGCGGAGCGGCGGACGGGUGAGUAAUGCCUAGGAAUCUUCCUGUUAGUGGGGGAUAACGUCCGGAAACGGGCGCUAAUACCGCCUACUAUCAGAUUAGCCUAGGUCGGAGUAGCUAGUUGUUGGGGUAAAGGCCUACCCAGGCGACGAUCCGUAACUGGUCUGAGCGUAUGAUCAGUCACACUGGAACUGAGAAACGGUCCAGACGCCUACGUGAGGAAGCAGUGGGGAAUAUUGGACAAUGGGCGAAAGCCUGAGCCAGCCAUGCCGCGUGUGUGAAGAAGGUCUUCGGAUUGUAAAGCACUUUAAGUUGGGAGGCGUUACCAACAGAAUAAGCACCGGCUAACUUCGUGCCAGCAGCCGCGGUAAUAC